Molecule: ribosomal RNA, 254 nt
Filed under: uncultured bacterium
Lineage: Bacteria
Description: partial 16S ribosomal RNA
Rfam family: Bacterial small subunit ribosomal RNA
Source: RNAcentral
UACGUAGGCAGCGAGCGUUGUUCGGAGUUACUGGGCGUAAAGGGUGUGUAGGCGGUCGUUUAAGUUUGGUGUGAAAUCUCCCGGCUCAACCGGGAGGGUGCGCCGAAUACUGAAUGACUUGGAGUGCGGGAGAGGUGAGUGGAAUUCCUGGUGUAGCGGUGAAAUGCGUAGAUAUCAGGAGGAACACCGGUGGUGUAGACGGCUCACUGGACCGUAACUGACGCUGAGACACGAAAGCGUGGGUAGCAAACAGG